Molecule: ribosomal RNA, 253 nt
Filed under: uncultured bacterium
Lineage: Bacteria
Description: partial 16S ribosomal RNA
Rfam family: Bacterial small subunit ribosomal RNA
Source: RNAcentral
UACGGAGGGUGCGAGCGUUGUUCGGAAUUACUGGGCGUAAAGGGGGCGUAGGCGGUUUGUUAAGUCAAAUGUGAAAGUCCACGGCUUAACUGUGGAAGUGCAUUUGAGACUGGCAGGCUAGAGUUUCGGAAGGGAAAGUGGAAUUCCUGGUGUAGGAGUGAAAUCCGUAGAUAUCAGGAGGAAUACCGGUGGCGAAGGCGACUUCCUGGACCGAUACUGACGCUGAGGCGCGAAAGCGUGGGGAGCAAACAGG